This 253-nucleotide ribosomal RNA is filed under the name uncultured bacterium. Its description in RNAcentral is "partial 16S ribosomal RNA". It matches the Rfam family "Bacterial small subunit ribosomal RNA", at positions 524 to 776 of the family's 1533-position model. The record is from RNAcentral.
CACGUAGGGCGCAAGCGUUGUCCGGAAUUAUUGGGCGUAAAGAGCUCGUAGGUGGUUUGUUACGUCUGCUGUGAAAACCUAGGGCUUAACCCUGGGCUUGCAGUGGAUACGGGCAGACUAGAGUUCGGUAGGGGAGACUGGAAUUCCUGGUGUAGCGGUGAAAUGCGCAGAUAUCAGGAGGAACACCGGUGGCGAAGGCGGGUCUCUGGGCCGAUACUGACGCUGAGGAGCGAAAGCGUGGGGAGCGAACAGG